Molecule: ribosomal RNA, 484 nt
Filed under: uncultured bacterium
Lineage: Bacteria
Description: partial 16S ribosomal RNA
Rfam family: Bacterial small subunit ribosomal RNA
Source: RNAcentral
AUUGAACGCUGGCGGCAGGCCUAACACAUGCAAGUCGAGCGGAUGAAGGGAGCUUGCUCCUGGAUUCAGCGGCGGACGGGUGAGUAAUGCCUAGGAAUCUGCCUGGUAGUGGGGGAUAACGUCCGGAAACGGGCGCUAAUACCGCAUCCGUCCUGAGGGAGAAAGUAGGGGAUCUUCGGACCUCACGCUAUCAGAUGAGCCUAGGUCGGAUUAGCUAGUUGGUGGGGUAAAGGCCUACCAAGGCGACGAUCCGUAACUGGUCUGAGAGGAUGAUCAGUCACACUGGAACUGAGACACGGUCCAGACUCCUACGGGAGGCAGCAGUGGGGAAUAUUGGGCAAUGGGCGAAAGCCUGAUCCAGCCAUGCCGCGUGUGUGAAGAAGGUCUUCGGAUUGUAAAGCACUUUAAGUUGGGAGGAAGGGCAGUAAGUUAAUACCUUGCUGUUUUGACGUUACCAACAGAAUAAGCACCGGCUAACUUCGUG